This is a non-coding RNA of Rattus norvegicus (Norway rat), 4810 nucleotides long. Lineage: Eukaryota; Metazoa; Chordata; Mammalia; Rodentia; Muridae. The record is from RefSeq and is a predicted model, not a curated record.
UUGUUUUGGGGCUGUCUUGUUAGGAGAUUAAGUUUUCUUUUAAAAAGUCAGAAAAAAAGAGUCUCUAGCGGGGGCCUGAGCGGAGCUGACCUCUGAGGAGGAGAUGGCGGCAGAGUCUGACUGGCACUGAGUUUGUCUAAUUAAUCUUCUUGUCAACAGAGUUGUUCUCUCCUGGUGCCAGCCCUGACAUCAUCUUGCAAGCUUGUCACACCGGUUCCUAUCCAGCUACAAAGGCCUCUCCUUGCUCCCUGCUCACACCAGCCAGCCCAGCAUAGCCUGCUGUAUUGCAUAUACCGGAGAGGCACCAUGGCUAGGCUGGAUCUCCAGGGAGAGACGAGAGGGACCUUCCCCAGCCUCUGACUUAGAGCGGCCCUGUAGAUCACGGCUGACAGGACAGCUGGUCAGGGAGCAUGGAGCGGGUGUUUAGAAGUUUGCUGACUGAAGAAAUGAAUGGAAGCUAGUGUCUGAGCCUGUCUUUGUUCUGAGUCAGGAAGCCAUGUGUCUUUGAAGAAGCGGCAGAUUCUGGACACCCUUACAACUCAGAAGAAAGAACCAAGAGUUGCCAUCCACGCAGUGCUUGGAGAGCUCUUCUCAGAACUUUGUUGCUGCUCAUUUAUUCCAGGUCAGGAAAUACACUGUGGGGGAGCAGUCACUGUGCUUCCAUGAGGGGACUUUCUGAGCCACACUCGAAACGAAGCAAGCUGGGUUUGGGGAAGCUGGAAACAUUUUAGAAUUGCUCCCUUUCUCCCUGGGUUUGGGAGUCCUCUCACCCGUGUGAAGUCAGCCCUGCUCGUCAGCAGCCUUGUUUCUUCCCUCAGAAACUCAGCGGCCUUUCACCCAGCAACAGCAUUCCAAAAUCAAGCCUUUUUCAGUUUCCACGGAACUGGAGCAAAUGUUUAAAUCAGUGGAAGUUAAACUAAUGAGAGGAAGGGAGAAAAGAAAUCCCCAAAGCAAAACAGGCAUUGCUUUUAAUCUGCCUCAUGCUUUGGGGACCCUUUUAUCCCCAUCUUGAAAGGACUGUUCACAGAGCAAGGAAGCUCGGCAAACGCAGAGGUACCUGGAUAUGGUGCCACGGAACAGCUCGGACAAACUCACUUGGAGGGGAAACAAAGGCAGGCUGGGAGGAGGUGGGGAGGUUCGGAUGGAGCAGCCUGCACCUUGACUUGCAGCUAGAAGGAUGCCCAGGAGAGAAGCUUCAUUUUGCAGAUGGCGUGCCAGGGGCCCACUCAAGAUAGCUCCUGAGCAGGCAGUGAGUGGAACCCGUUCCUCGGCGGACUGACACGUCCUUAAUGAGCAGCUAGUAGUCUCAUUUAGGGGCGUUCCCCAGCCUGGGAUCAGUGAAGAUGUCUAAACGAGAACCAGCACUUUCAGGCCAGUACCCAAGGAUUUGCUUUGUAAAAGGAGAGUGGCUGCACAGAUGAAUUAUGGACCGUGGUGCCCUUGCGAGCCUGGGUCUCUUCUCUCACUGUGCUCCCGGUGCACUCUCCAUUGCAAAGCACCAGGACAGGAUGAGCAGGGGCAGACAUCAAAGCAAGAGUUUCUGGAAGGUACUCUGUAGCUCCAUUAUUAUCGUAAGACAAGCUGGCUGCCUCGGGUCAAUGAGAAUCGUGUACAGAGCAGGCCUGUAGUAGCCUGCAAUGUUCCUUUUAAGAAAUUUCUGGUAGCUUGAUCCAGCCCAGAAUAUUUUGAGAGAGGAUGUUUAAAGUAUUCUAUCAUGGAGGGGGGGGGAUCAUAAAGUGUCGAUGUCAAAAGAAACCACAAACAGAUGGGCCAAUAGACCCAAAGGUCUCCAGCACAGAGAUAAGAAGUUACUAUGUGGUAAGGAUCCAUGGAGAAAAGGAGAUUAGGCAAUAAGUGCUAGGAGGACCAGCCAUGUGGGAGAAAUUAGAGAUAAUCCCUGGCUUUCCCCAUAGAUCAGAAUAAAUUCCACAUACAUUUAACAUCAGGUAAGCUUCUACUCCUGGGGCAAGGACUUUCCUGAGAAAAAUGCUUAGAAAUGGGUCUAAAAGUAAAAGACUUGGGGGUUUGUCUCUAGAAACACUGACACUUUAAGGCAUUGGUCACAGCAGGAAGACAUCUGUGACAUCACCAAAGCUCCCACCCUGCCCCCGCAAGGUGUCUUGGUGGGUGAAGGCCUGUGCGGAGGAAGCCUGGAAACAGGAUUUUGAUCCAGGCCAUAGAUGUGUGGUUGGAAGGUGAGAAGGGACCCCAAAGAGUUGUCCUCUGGCCUCUGCACAGCAUGGGAUGUUCCCCUCCUCCCCACUCAUGCACUGCUAAUUUUUUAAUUUAAAAACAUUGUGAGUAAUCUUAUUUUAUGUGAAAGGUUAUUACCAAACAAAAAAGAAAAGAGCUGGCGCAGUAGAAAUAGGGGAAAAACUUGAGUGAUAGCAGAGAUAUAAACUUGGAAGGAAUGUGUAAAAAAAAACCUUUUAAAUCUAUUAAUUAAAGCUAUAAAUCAAAGCCAGGUGUAGUAACCCAUGCUUGGACUCCCAUCUGGGAGGACAAGCCAGAGAGCCAGGGCUGUGUGGGCUACACAGCAAGACCCUGUCGCAAGGCACACGCAUAUACUCACAAGAACUCAUAAUGAAAGCAUAAAUGAGCGUUCGAUCUACCCAUCAGUUCUCUGCAGAGUAAUCCAUUCUCAUCCAUGGCUGGUGGGAGUUCACACUGCCAGCGACUUCCUUCUUCUGAGACAUCAUACACAUACAUGCCGCUCUUUGAUCAAAGCUCCCCUCCCCCAUUCUCCUCUUCUAUCCCUCUGUUUCUGGGUGACUCACUGAACUUAAUUAGGGUUACCCAUGUGAGCACAGGUGAGAGGCUAUUUACCUGAGCGAGAUCGAUGGGCAAGUGGACACACUGCUGAGGAAGAUGACUCCCCCUUAGCUCACCACAAAAACAACAACCGCCCCCCCCCAAAAAAAACCUGUUGACUCAUCUCUUCAAAACUGCCCAACGAAAUUCCAACGUUUCAAGUGGAGGACUUGACGUCUAAAUGAAGAUGCUCCUUUCUGUUAAUGUGUGCUUUUGUAUUGAUCUCGUUCAAACUUCUUAAGCCUGUGCACCUGCUCUCUUGUGUCCUGUGGAUGGAAAUCAUGGAGCAUCAAGGAUAAGUGGGGACCAUGGGGACAGCCCCAGGGAUCUUUAUGACCUUUAAAGCAUAGGUGGACCAACAGGCUCAUUUCAGUUGGAUCACUGGUCAUCUUCUUCUUCUUCUUCUUUUUUUUUUUAAUUAACUUGAGUAUUUCUUAUAUACAUUUCGAGUUUUAUUCCCUUUCCCGGUUUCCGGGCAAACAUCCCCUCCCCCUCCCCUUCUUUAUGGGUGUUCCCCUCCCCAUCCUCCCCCCAUUGCCGCCCUCCCUCCGACAAUCACGUUCACUGGGGGUUCAGUCUUAGCAGGACCCAUGGCUUCCCCUUCCACUGGUGCUCUUACUAGGAUAUUCAUUGCUACCUAUGAGGUCAGAGUCCAGGGUCAGUCCAUGUAUAGUCUUCAGGUAGUAGCUUAGUCCCUGGAAGCUCUGGUUGCUUGGCAUUGUUGUACAUAUGGGGUCUCGAGCCCCUUCAAGCUCUUCCAGUUCUUUCUCUGAUUCCUUCAACGGGGGUCCUAUUCUCAGUUCAGUGGUUUGCUGCUGGCAUUCGCCUCUGUGUUUGCUGUAUUCUGGCUGUGUCUCUCAGGAGCGAUCUACAUCCGGCUCCUGUCGGCCUGCACUUCUUUGCUUCAUCCAUCUUGUCUAAUUGGGUGGCUGUAUAUGUAUGGGCCACAUGUGGGGCAGGCUCUGAAUGGGUGUUCCUUCUGUGUCUGUUUACUGGUCAUCUUCUUAAUUCCCAUGUGUCCCCUGACUGAUUGCCUGUAUCCAUCGACUAUCCUAGCCUAUUUUGUUACCAGGACAGAGAUGCACACGGAAGUUUGUAUCAUCUGUGUCUUCUUACCAAUUGGAUCAUCAAAAUUCAGUUCUCCUCACCCAAGACUGAGAGCUUUUCAGUAGGACCCACCACUGAAGACACAUUGGCGUUGAUGUGCGGUUGAGGUGAUGGCUCUUGUUUACCGGUGUUUGAUGUCCCUGGCCUCAUGGAGGAUGGGUGGGGCCAUUUUGACUGGGUCUGACAAUAAGUUGUAAGAGGAAGUGACGUCGUUAACUCCCAGGUUGAAGCAUAGCCCCAGGUUGAGGUGGAAUAUCUCUUUCUCUUUCGUGUUAAUCACGGAAGCCACACAUUUCAGAGAAUUCAGUUCUGAGAUGUAGGAGUGGCCACUAGCCUCCAUCUGUCAGCAAGUGACCAUGUGGAUGACAUUGCAUAAACCCUGUGCUGUCUUGCAGCCCUGACCAACUCACCAUGGGCAUAAAAUAAGCCUUUUUUAUGCGUAGGCUCUAAGGCUAUUAGGGUCUAUUAGGUACUGCAGUUCAUCCAGCUUGGCCUCACUGGUUUUUUUUUUUUUUUUUUUUUUUUUUUUUUUUUUUUUGAGCUGAGGAAUGAACCCAGGGCCUUGUGCUUGCUAGGCAAGCGCUCUACCACUGAGCUAAAUCCCCAACCCCUGGCCUCACUGUUAAGGACUUCUGCAUCAGCCAUGGCCUGGAGCUGGCAGAGUUUUCACAGGGACAGGCUGGGUGUCCCAUCCUUGCAGGACAUCACUUGUGCGACCCAGUGGUGAGACACUGCCUCACUGGAGGAAGGCAUUUCCUCCUUUCUUCUGCUUUGGGGAAAAUAGAUUCUCAGAUCUAAAUAGACCAUUAAUGGCCAGUGAAUGAUGUUCCCUUUGGACACACGAGGUACUUGAUAUCUGUAAUCUUUGUUUGUUAUAUGCUCUAUUGGUCUU